Molecule: long non-coding RNA, 2214 nt
Organism: Oryzias melastigma (Indian medaka)
Lineage: Eukaryota; Metazoa; Chordata; Actinopteri; Beloniformes; Adrianichthyidae
Exons: 3
Source: RefSeq, a predicted model, not a curated record
AAUAAUCCUAUUUGUGUCUAUUUGUGCAAUUUCAAAAUCAUUUGUAUAGGCUUGUGCCAUAUAGCUCAUUAAAAUGUCACACACUGGCAAACAUUUAUAUUCUUGAUUAUGAGGAUAUUCCAGUCACCAAAUAUGAAUCUUUAUGGAUUUUUUAAAAAAGGUUUGAGGUUUGAGAUCCUUGUUUAUGCUCAGGAAAUCUUUAGUUUUGUGCAAAAUGAAAAAAAGAAUAACCAUAUUGCAUGACAUUGGUAAAGUUUCAAGACAGCUGGAGCCUUUUACAUCUAACAUGGUAUUUAAGAUAAGGUAUACAGACUCCAUAGCAACAAAAUAGAAAAGUAAACCAGGAAUAAGGAACACUUUACGUCAAAAAACAAGUAUAAAGUAAGCAGUAUAAAGAAUAUCCUUGAAAACAAAAACUGAGGAGAAGAAAAGAGUUACUAGGAAACUGUGAAGAUGUGUUGUCCACAUAUUGUUUUCCCUUCAUAAAUAUAUAUAUCAAACUUGCUUUGAUUGUCAGGUGACCAAUAAAUACUUUAAAACUGCCACAACAUGUCAGGAACUGGUGGUGUAGAGCCAAAAAUGCUGAAGACAGGCUUAGGGCAAGAAUUUAAGACUUAAAAAAACUAGAACAUUGAAAGCAUUGACAAUUAUUUUCUGUGGAUAUGAAGACACAGAAAACGGAACAUGAACCAAGAGAAUAUAACUGAGAGCAAAUGUAACCCUAGUAAAGUUAUUUACUUUUUCUUUAACCUUUACUUUAAACAGGGUGUAAUUUUCAGUUUCUCCACUGGUGGCAGUAGACAUUUUAGACGAUGUUUUUUUAAUUUGUUCGGAGUGAUCAUCCCGUCAUUGUAUUGAUCUUUGACGCUUUUCCUCACGAGCGAGAAGCAGCGAGUGAAAGGGAGAGAAAAGACCCGAGCGAGUUAGUGGGAAGAAGAUAAAUCUGGAGAAAACCAAGGGUGGAGUUUGAAAAUUGUGGAAAAGUUCGUUAUCUUGGUGAGUGGUAACCGCAUUUUGUGUUAUAUAAUGCCAGUAAAUUGUAUCGACCGAUUAAAACUAAAUGGGAAAUGGAAACCUAAUGUUAUAAAAAACCAGUUGAGGUAACUAAGGAAAUAUGUGAUUAAUAUACAGUAUGUUUUUUUGUUGAAGUUUCAUUUGUGAAGUCUCCUCAGUUCACCACGUGUUGCAGGCUAAAUACCCUGUAAGCUAGUUUUGACUUGUCGUUUUUUUUGCAUGUUAUUUAAUUUUAUUGUGUGUUUGGAGUUUAACUUUCUGAAAAGGAAAACACCAUGAAACAAUUGAACUAAUGUUAAAAGGUUACUAUGGACAAUAUUUAAUUAUUUUCUGCACAUUUGUGUAGACUGUUUUUUUUUUUUUUUUUGGAGUUCACCUGGAUCCCGGCCUUCAUCUUUUCAUCUCAUCUACCAUCAUCAUCCCAUCAUCUUCUCAUCUCUAAUCCCCUCAUCUCAUCUCUCAUCACCACCUUCUGGAAAUCUCGGUUCGGACAUUAUCAUACAAGUUGACUUCAUCAGGGGAAGCCAUAUCCUAAAGGUAAUUUAGGUAUGUCUUGCUGUUCCAUUGAGGCUCAUGCGGCCACCUUAAGGGACGUCAUGUAAAUGAAACAAACGGUCGGUGUGCAUGUGAUAAGAAACCUAUAUUGCGAGGUAUUUGUAAGGAUAAUGUGUGUUACACACUGUUAUUACAUAUGUGUUAUCCUGUCGUACACUGCCCUUUCACCACCCUAGUCGUUAUAAGGUGCACCUGCUCCCUACUGAUUGUACGUAAAUGCUGCAAGCAUGGGGUGUGGAAGUAAAAUGUAAGUGGCCGUAGGAUGCCCACACUAACUUCACAUUGGUUGUCUAGUUUCCUAAUUUCUAAGAACGCCAAGAAACAUUAUCAUCUGAACACACAACAGCUACUUCACUCUAACUUACUCUUAUGUUUUAUAAGUGUUCAGUAUAACCUGUACCCCGCAGCAUGCCCAUAGAAAAAAAUGUGCAUGAAUUUUGUCUUUCUAGGUGAGGGGUGUCAAACUCAAAUUCAAAACGCACCUUAGGAUAGGCAUUUAUAGAACACACUAAAACUACAUUUUUAAAACUUUAUAAAGGUAUUUUUUUUUUAGUAUAAACGUGUAUAAAAAUAGACAGGAAUAUUAAUCAAGAAUGAAUCAACUUCAACCUUAAUAACUUUCAAUGUUUUACUCUAAAAUACAUU